GGAAGCGUAUCGAAGUGGUCAUAACGGGCUUGACUCGAAAUCAAGUAGCCGAGUAAUCGGCUCGAGGGUUCGAAUCCCUCCGCUUCCGCCA
Molecule: transfer RNA, 91 nt
Filed under: Clostridia bacterium
Lineage: Bacteria; Bacillati; Bacillota; Clostridia
Description: tRNA-Ser
Rfam family: tRNA
About the family: Transfer RNA (tRNA) molecules are approximately 80 nucleotides in length. Their secondary structure includes four short double-helical elements and three loops (D, anti-codon, and T loops).
Source: RNAcentral